GCUGACACGUCCCGGCCAAUCUCCAGCAGACCCUCCCUCCCAGACCCUCCUACUUCCUGGACAGUAUCCAUGUUUCAACAUGUUUCAAUGAGACAUGGAUGCUGUCCAGGAAGUAGGAGGGUCUGGGAGGGAGGGUCUGCUGGAGAUUGGCCGGGACGUGUCAG
Pelobates cultripes (western spadefoot toad) is the source of this 164-nucleotide non-coding RNA. NCBI's taxonomy places the organism in Eukaryota, Metazoa, Chordata, Amphibia, Anura, Pelobatidae. The record is from the annotation of a GenBank genome assembly.